RNAcentral lists this ribosomal RNA (419 nucleotides) under uncultured Cetobacterium sp. RNAcentral describes it as "bacterial SSU rRNA". It matches the Rfam family "Bacterial small subunit ribosomal RNA", at positions 355 to 788 of the family's 1533-position model. Lineage: Bacteria; Fusobacteriati; Fusobacteriota; Fusobacteriia; Fusobacteriales; Fusobacteriaceae. The record is from RNAcentral.
UGGGGAAUAUUGGACAAUGGGCCACGAGCCUGAUCCAGCAAUUCUGUGUGCACGAUGAAGGUCUUCGGAUUGUAAAGUGCUUUCAGUUGGGAAGAAGAAAGUGACGGUACCAACAGAAGAAGCGACGGCUAAAUAUGUGCCAGCAGCCGCGGUAAUACAUAUGUCGCAAGCGUUAUCCGGAUUUAUUGGGCGUAAAGCGCGUCUAGGCGGUUUACUAAGUCUGAUGUGAAAAUGCGGGGCUCAACUCCGUAUUGCGUUGGAAACUGGUAGACUAGAGUACUGGAGAGGUGGGCGGAACUACAAGUGUAGAGGUGGAAUUCGUAGAUAUUUGUAGGAAUGCCGAUGGAGAAGUCAGCUCACUGGACAGAUACUGACGCUAAAGCGCGAAAGCGUGGGGAGCAAACAGGAUUAGAUACCCU